Molecule: long non-coding RNA, 1178 nt
Organism: Amblyraja radiata (thorny skate)
Lineage: Eukaryota; Metazoa; Chordata; Chondrichthyes; Rajiformes; Rajidae
Exons: 2
Source: RefSeq, a predicted model, not a curated record
GCCCCCGCCAGCCGGCCCCGCCCCCGCCUCGGCAACUGUCAUCAGCCGUCGCCUUCACGACGGGCCGAAUGGUCUCCUUCGUUGCGGCAACCUAUCCCAGCGAGUGCCACAAAGACAUUCAGCAAAUCAGCUGCACAACAGGAUGUCCCAACUGAGAUGUGAUGUGCCGAUACUUGAGAAUGUGGCUGAGUUGGAGAGGCAGCUGGGGCCGGCCGGGAGGCACAUAUUUAACUGGGAGACAAUGAAAGAAACCUCCUGGACAUGCAAUAACAGUAAGAUGGAGCCAUGAAGAAAUUGUGCAAGCACUGGGAUUCAGGGUUUACGUAUGAAGAUGUAUGACAGAUAUUGGAAGUGUCACAUAAGUAAAUUAAAUGCACUGAUACUUAAGAAGAUGGUGUUCAAGAACAUAAAAUACAGAAUGAGUGUAGAUAUAGAGUGUAGGAUGGUUUUUGUGAUGCAGCCAAAUGAAUGACGCACAGUUUACAUAAACAGUUUACUCGAAUUGAGUACCCGAGUACACAAGUUAGGGAUGGCAAAUGCAAUUGUUGAGGUCUCAGAGAUUGGGCAGUUAAGUAAAUCAAUUAAGUUUAUAGUUAGUUGAAUUUAUAACUGUGCAAACAUGUAAAUAUUUAACUUAAUAUCAUAAAAAAUGAUAACAGUGCAUAUAUAUGUAAAUAUUUAACUUCCUAACCGUAUAAUGUUGUGGAUUUGUGUGGUUUUAGUUAAAGGGGAAACUGGGUAGUGUAAAUAAUUCUUAGGGUGCCUGUAGGAACUGAAUGUACUUUAUUGAAUAACUUUGAUACAAUGUACUAGACAGCUGUUUAGUUGAGAAUUACUGCCAAUGAACUAUGUUCUCUUCAUAAUGCUACCUUUGUCUAAUCGCUUAUGCAUAAAGCAACACAAAGAAACCUAUAGUUGUAAGAAAGAAGAUAUGUUGUAUAAACUUAUAGUUUGCUACAAUGUAACAUCUAACAAAACAGGUUUCAUUCCAAGCAAUUUUAUUGCAUAUUUACGUACUAUAAUAUACCUUAAUUUCAGUUUCUUUUAGACACUAAUCUGUAAAUGGCACAAGAUAAGUACAUCAUUGUUAUUUAAUCUAUUUUAAUAGCAAUAAUAGAAGAUGUGAUCGAAAGUCCAUUCUAAUUAAGCACAUAAACAAGCAAUCUUAAAAUCUUAAA